GUGAUGUUGGACACUCCUGGCCUGUGUUGUCCCCAGUCUCGGCCUUGUUUGGCGCCCUCUGUGUCUUUGGACUCUGUUUCCGGUCAGACGCAGAAGUGGCAGAGAGGGAGGUGAUGUGAUGUUGGACACUCCUGGCCUGUGUUGUCCCCAGUCUCGGCCUUGUUUGGCGCCCUCUGUGUCUUUGGACUCUGUUUCCGGUCAGACGCAGAAGUGGCAGAGAGGGAGGUGAUGUGAUGUUGGACACUCCUGGCCUGUGUUGUCCCCAGUCUCGGCCUUGUUUGGCGCCCUCUGUGUCUUUGGACUCUGUUUCCGGUCAGGUGAGCUUGCUGCCCUAGAUUUACAAAGGCUACAUUUAUAGAGGAAAGUUUGCACUUCUUUUUAAUCAAUGCAUCAAAACAAAGACUUGUUUUAUACAUUUAAUUAUAUAUAUACAACUAACAAACAGUAGUGUAAUAUGAAUAAACCAUUCAUUAAUGCAUUUUCAAAUCACUAAGCAUAUCUUCAUGUAGAUUACUGAUAAAGACACCAACAAACUAGCAGGCUAACUGUUCAUAUACAGUGCCUUAUGGAAAGUAUUCAGACCCCUCGAAUUUUUUUUUACACUUUGUUAG
This 611-nucleotide long non-coding RNA is filed under the name Salmo salar (Atlantic salmon). Its description in RNAcentral is "lncRNA (ENSSSAG00000089740.1)". Lineage: Eukaryota; Metazoa; Chordata; Actinopteri; Salmoniformes; Salmonidae. The record is from RNAcentral.